UCGAACGAUGAUCCCAGCUUGCUGGGGGAUUAGUGGCGAACGGGUGAGUAACACGUGAGUAACCUGCCCUUAACUCUGGGAUAAGCCUGGGAAACUGGGUCUAAUACCGGAUAUGACUCCUCAUCGCAUGGUGGGGGGUGGAAAGCUUUAUUGUGGUUUUGGAUGGACUCGCGGCCUAUCAGCUUGUUGGUGAGGUAAUGGCUCACCAAGGCGACGACGGGUAGCCGGCCUGAGAGGGUGACCGGCCACACUGGGACUGAGACACGGCCCAGACUCCUACGGGAGGCAGCAGUGGGGAAUAUUGCACAAUGGGCGAAAGCCUGAUGCAGCGACGCCGCGUGAGGGAUGACGGCCUUCGGGUUGUAAACCUCUUUCAGUAGGGAAGAAGCGAAAGUGACGGUACCUGCAGAAGAAGCGCCGGCUAACUACGUGCCAGCAGCCGCGGUAAUACGUAGGGCGCAAGCGUUAUCCGGAAUUAUUGGGCGUAAAGAGCUCGUAGGCGGUUUGUCGCGUCUGCCGUGAAAGUCCGGGGCUCAACUCCGGAUCUGCGGUGGGUACGGGCAGACUAGAGUGAUGUAGGGGAGACUGGAAUUCCUGGUGUAGCGGUGAAA
Molecule: ribosomal RNA, 611 nt
Filed under: bacterium 66-L049659-122-016-B09
Lineage: Bacteria
Description: bacterial SSU rRNA
Rfam family: Bacterial small subunit ribosomal RNA
Source: RNAcentral